CCCUGGUUUGCUCAGUUGAUAGGGCACUCCACCUGUAAUGGAGAGGUCCCGGGUUCGAUACCCGGACCAGACG
This 73-nucleotide transfer RNA is filed under the name Ixodes scapularis (black-legged tick). It matches the Rfam family "tRNA". Rfam says of the family: Transfer RNA (tRNA) molecules are approximately 80 nucleotides in length. Their secondary structure includes four short double-helical elements and three loops (D, anti-codon, and T loops). Lineage: Eukaryota; Metazoa; Arthropoda; Arachnida; Ixodida; Ixodidae. The record is from Rfam by way of RNAcentral.